UUUAAUAACUUCGCAACGGCUCGACGGACUGCCGAAUCGACUUCCCCAACGCGUUCGUUUACCUAGCAAUUAGGUUUACGGAUGGUCAAAUGAGAUCAAACCCUACAAUUUUACAAAACUCCAUUUUGGAGCCCUAGGUUACAACUAUGCAAGAAAUCAUCAUUUUGGAACCUGAUUCAAGCAUUAAUCUUCUAAUUAGCAUCUAAGAAUGCUACUAAAUCCAUCUUUAGAGCUUAAAUGCAAAACCCUAGAGUUCUACCAUUAUAAACCUAGCCUCUACACAUGCUUCAAUUAACCCAAAUUAAAUGAAUUUAACAUGCUAAUCAACCCAUUAGAGGCUAUUAGAACACUAGGAAUUAAGGAUUAAGCCAAAUCCCAAGAGCUUACCCAAAUGUGAACACUGCGACGAAAACAAGCCGCUCCAACGGGCGCACGAAAGCUCGAUCCAUCGCCUCCAACGCGUUCGCAAGCUCGUUCUCUGCCAAUGCCGCGAAUUUGGGAGAGGGAUCUAGAGAGAUGAGAGAGAUAUUUAGAGAGAAGUGGAGCUUUCUCUCUCCCUCACCAUGGUCGCAUGGUGCUUG
Molecule: long non-coding RNA, 581 nt
Filed under: Ananas comosus (pineapple)
Lineage: Eukaryota; Viridiplantae; Streptophyta; Magnoliopsida; Poales; Bromeliaceae
Description: long non-coding RNA (ACOM_LNC031524)
Source: RNAcentral